CAGAAUUGUAUUGAAUAGAAAAAUGGCUAAUACUUAAGAAAUACAAGAUGAAUUGAUUAUGUUCAAAAAGGGAAUUUAGUGAACGUUCGUACUAUUCUGCCAAGAGGUAUACUCGUUGUCAUUAACAUCUUGGGAUUCAUUGUACAUAUAUAUUGUUGUUCACAUAUUACUGUUGGUUCGUGAUCAUUACAUAUACAUAUAGAUAGAGGCAGAAUGGGGUAUUUGCGUAGCAAUGGACAAGUGACGGGUGUGGACACAUUGUGGUCUAAUUAGGAUAAUUCGAGUCGGUUUAUGCUUCUAGUUUGGCAUAUGAGUUGUUAGGAAUACCCAUAUGAAAUCAUGAUCCAUUGGUUGUAGUAUGCUCGUUUGUGAUGGAAGUCUCAUGUUUCUUUGUGGUAUCUCGUCGUAUUCACUCACUCUAAGUACAUCACAGGGGCGCAGUCAUGGAGAGUAUGGAGUGCAUGCAGACAUCACAGACUAAAGUUAUUUUCGAAAGUACUUGUCUAUCUUCGUAAAACAAAUUGCAUUGUAUUGUUUUCUCUAUUUUUGGAAUACUGUAUCGAUUGGACA
Long non-coding RNA from Rhododendron vialii, 570 nucleotides. RefSeq lists it as uncharacterized. NCBI's taxonomy places the organism in Eukaryota, Viridiplantae, Streptophyta, Magnoliopsida, Ericales, Ericaceae. The record is from RefSeq and is a predicted model, not a curated record. The transcript is spliced from 2 exons.